This 765-nucleotide ribosomal RNA is filed under the name uncultured Streptococcus sp. RNAcentral describes it as "bacterial SSU rRNA". It matches the Rfam family "Bacterial small subunit ribosomal RNA", at positions 28 to 776 of the family's 1533-position model. Lineage: Bacteria; Bacillati; Bacillota; Bacilli; Lactobacillales; Streptococcaceae. The record is from RNAcentral.
GACGAACGCUGGCGGCGUGCCUAAUACAUGCAAGUAGAACGCUGAAGCUUGGUGCUUGCACCGAGCGGAUGAGUUGCGAACGGGUGAGUAACGCGUAGGUAACCUGCCUCUUAGCGGGGGAUAACUAUUGGAAACGAUAGCUAAUACCGCAUAAAAGUCGAGAUCGCAUGAUGUUGACUUGAAAGGUGCAAUUGCAUCACUAAGAGAUGGACCUGCGUUGUAUUAGCUAGUUGGUGAGGUAACGGCUCACCAAGGCGACGAUACAUAGCCGACCUGAGAGGGUGAUCGGCCACACUGGGACUGAGACACGGCCCAGACUCCUACGGGAGGCAGCAGUAGGGAAUCUUCGGCAAUGGACGGAAGUCUGACCGAGCAACGCCGCGUGAGUGAAGAAGGUUUUCGGAUCGUAAAGCUCUGUUGUAAGAGAAGAACGAGUGUGAGAGUGGAAAGUUCACACUGUGACGGUAUCUUACCAGAAAGGGACGGCUAACUACGUGCCAGCAGCCGCGGUAAUACGUAGGUCCCGAGCGUUGUCCGGAUUUAUUGGGCGUAAAGCGAGCGCAGGCGGUUAGAUAAGUCUGAAGUUAAAGGCUGUGGCUUAACCAUAGUACGCUUUGGAAACUGUUUAACUUGAGUGCAAGAGGGGAGAGUGGAAUUCCAUGUGUAGCGGUGAAAUGCGUAGAUAUAUGGAGGAACACCGGUGGCGAAAGCGGCUCUCUGGCUUGUAACUGACGCUGAGGCUCGAAAGCGUGGGGAGCAAACAGG